CGAUCCGAGAGGCGCUGCAACGGACAACCCUGUCCGCCACGCUCGGUGCGGUUUGUUGACGUAAGGGCGCCUCCUGAGA
This 79-nucleotide non-coding RNA is filed under the name Actinoplanes regularis. Its description in RNAcentral is "SAH sequence". It matches the Rfam family "SAH (S-adenosyl-L-homocysteine) riboswitch aptamer". The record is from Rfam by way of RNAcentral. Lineage: Bacteria; Bacillati; Actinomycetota; Actinomycetes; Micromonosporales; Micromonosporaceae.